GGCCGCGAANNGCCCUUGUGCCAGCCGCCGCGGUAAUACGUAGGGUGCGAGCGUUAAUCGGAAUUACUGGGCGUAAAGCGUGCGCAGGCGGUUGUGUAAGACAGUUGUGAAAUCCCCGGGCUCAACCUGGGAAUUGCAUCUGUGACUGCACGGCUAGAGUGCGGCAGAGGGGGAUGGAAUUCCGCGUGUAGCAGUGAAAUGCGUAGAUAUCGGGAAGAACACCAGUGGCGAAGGCGCUCUGCUGGGCCAUAACUGACGCUCAUGGACGAAAGCCAGGGGAGCGAAAGGGAUUAGAUACCCCUGUAGUCCUGGCCGUAAACGAUGAACACUAGGUGUCGGGGGAAUCGACCCCCUCGGUGUCGUAGCCAACGCGUUAAGUGUUCCGCCUGGGGAGUACGCACGCAAGUGUGAAACUCAAAGGAAUUGACGGGGGCCCGCACAAGCGGUGGAGUAUGUGGUUUAAUUCGAUGCAACGCGAAGAACCUUACCAGGGUUUGACAUCCUGCGAAUCUCCUGGAAACGGGAGAGUGCCUUCGGGAACGCAGUGACAGGUGGUGCAUGGCUGUCGUCAGCUCGUGUCGUGAGAUGUUGGGUUAAGUCCCGCAACGAGCGCAACCCACGUCUUUAGUUGCCAGCAUUCAGUKGGGCACUCUAGAGAGACCGCCGGUGAUAAACCGGAGGAAGGUGUGGAUGACGUCAAGUCAUCAUGCCCCUUACAUSCUGGGCUACACACGUACUACAAUGCUACGGACAAAGGGCAGCAAACUCGCGAGAGCUAGCAAAUCCCAUAAACCGUGGCUCAGUUCAGAUCGUAGGCUGCAACUCGCCUACGUGAAGGAGGAAUCGCUAGUAAUCGCAGGUCAGCAUACUGCGGUGAAUACGUUCCCGGGCCUUGUACACACCGCCCGUCACACCAUGGAAGUUGGCCACGCCCGAAGCCGUUACUCCAACCCUUGUGGAGGAGGACGUCGAAGGUGGGGCUGAUGACUGGGGUGAAGUCGUAACAAGGUAACC
This 1014-nucleotide ribosomal RNA is filed under the name uncultured bacterium. RNAcentral's name for it is "bacterial SSU rRNA". It matches the Rfam family "Bacterial small subunit ribosomal RNA", at positions 488 to 1501 of the family's 1533-position model. The record is from RNAcentral.